GAAUCUUCCGCAAUGGACGAAAGUCUGACGGAGCAACGCCGCGUGAGUGAUGAAGGUUUUCGGAUCGUAAAGCUCUGUUGUUAGGGAAGAAACAAGUACCGUUCGAAUAGGGCGGUACCUUGACGGUACCUAACCAGAAAGCACGGCUAACUACGUGCCAGCAGCCGCGGUAAUACGUAGGUGGCAAGCGUUGUCCGGAAUUAUUGGGCG
This 210-nucleotide ribosomal RNA is filed under the name uncultured bacterium. Its description in RNAcentral is "partial 16S ribosomal RNA". It matches the Rfam family "Bacterial small subunit ribosomal RNA", at positions 359 to 560 of the family's 1533-position model. The record is from RNAcentral.